RNAcentral lists this ribosomal RNA (1425 nucleotides) under metagenome. RNAcentral's name for it is "bacterial SSU rRNA". It matches the Rfam family "Bacterial small subunit ribosomal RNA". The record is from RNAcentral.
AGAGUUUGAUCCUAGCUCAGGAUGAACGCUGGCGGCGUGGAUAAGGCAUGCAAGUCGAACGCCCCGCAAGGGGAGUGGCGAACGAGGUAGUAACACGUAGGAACGUACCCUUUAGUCAAGAAUAACCAGUCGAAAGAUUGGCUAAUACUUGAUAGUCUCUUCGGAGUAAAGAUUUAUCGCUAAAGGAACGGCCUGCGGGAUAUCAGCUAGUUGGUAAGGUAAUGGCUUACCAAGGCUAUGACGUCUAGGGGAGCUGAGAGGCUGACCCCCACCGAUGGUACUGAGACACGGACCAUACACCUACGGGUGGCUGCAGUCGAGAAUCUUCCGCAAUGGACGCAAGUCUGACGGAGCGACGCCGCGUGAUUGAUGAAGUCCCUCUGGGACGUAAAGAUCUUUUAUUAGGGAGAAAGCUUAUUGAUAGUACCUAAUGAAUAAGGGGUUGCUAAACUCGUGCCAGCAGCAGCGGUAAUACGAGUGCCCCAAGCGUUAUCCGGAAUCACUGGGCGUAAAGGGUGUGUAGGUGGUUAUGUUAGUCUUUUGUUAAAUUCUUCGGCUUAACCGGGGACCUGCGAAAGAAACAGCAUGACUAGAGGAUGUGAGGGGUGAACGGAACUCAUGGAGUAGGGGUGAAAUCCGUUGAUAUCAUGGGGAACACCAAAAGCGAAGGCAGUUCACUGGCACAUUCCUGACACUGAAACACGAAAGCGUAGGUAGCGAAUGGGAUUAGAUACCCCAGUAGUCUACGCCCUAAACGAUGAUCGCUAGUUUUUCGGAGUAUCGACCCUCUGAGAGACGAAGCUAACGCGUUAAGCGAUCCGCCUGGGUAGUACGACCGCAAGGUUAAAACUCAAAGGAAUAGACGGGGACUUGCACAAGCAGAGGAUUAUGUGGUUUAAUUCGACGAAAAACGAAGAACCUUACCAGGGUUUGAAACCUAACUGAAUGUACCGGAAACGGCUACAGCCGCAAGGCAGUUAGGCAGGUGAUGCAUGGCCGUCGUCAGUUCGUGAUUUGAGUUGUUCCCUUCAGUGGGGUAACGAACGCAACCCUCGUUGCCUGUUAUAAGUGUCAGGCGAGACUGCCCCUUCUCAGGGGAGGAAGGUGAGGAUGACGCCAGGUCAGCAUGUCCCUCUGAUAUCCUGGGCCACACACAUAAUACAAUUGCCGGUACAACGGGUCGCAAUGGAGUAAUCCGGAGCUAAUCCUAAUAAAGCCGGCCCCAGUUCAGAUUGAGGGCUGAAACUCGACCUCAUGAAGUUGGAUUUGCUAGUAAUCGCGGGUCAGCUAUACCGCGGUGAAUACGUUCUCAAGUCUUGUACUCACCGCCCGUCAACUCAAGGGAGUUGGGAGUACCCGAAGUCCUGGCGCAAGCCGGGCCUAAGGUAAGCUCAAUGACAGGGAGUAAGUCGUAACAAGGCACGG